This 301-nucleotide ribosomal RNA is filed under the name uncultured bacterium. RNAcentral's name for it is "partial 16S ribosomal RNA". It matches the Rfam family "Bacterial small subunit ribosomal RNA", at positions 509 to 807 of the family's 1533-position model. The record is from RNAcentral.
CAGCAGCCACGGGAAUACGAAGGGGGCUAGCGUUGCUCGGAAUCACUGGGCGUAAAGGGUGCGUAGGCGGGUCUUUAAGUCAGGGGUGAAAUCCUGGAGCUCAACUCCAGAACUGCCUUUGAUACUGAAGAUCUUGAGUUCGGGAGAGGUGAGUGGAACUGCGAGUGUAGAGGUGAAAUUCGUAGAUAUUCGCAAGAACACCAGUGGCGAAGGCGGCUCACUGGCCCGAUACUGACGCUGAGGCACGAAAGCGUGGGGAGCAAGCAGGAUUAGAUACCCGCGUAGUCCCUGUCUCUUAUAC